AAAAAACUCAGUCAACCUUCCUCAGUCCCCUCACAUUUCUUAUCUUCCCCAUUCUUCCCUUCCUACCUCCUCCUCUGUUGCCACACGCUAGGUCCCCCAUCCACAGCCGGCACUCUCUGGUGGGCGCCCCUCCCAUUCGUCACCAUUGUCGGCGGACACAUAGGCCCAUGCUCUUCCCUGCCCCGCCCCUUCUUCAUAUCCGAUCCCCGAAGUGCUCGAGGAGGCGCUCGAGCUCGGCAUGCUCGCCGGCGACACCGGGGUCCUCCCUCCUCCUGAUGCACUCUCCGUCGCCGCCAUGAGCGUCUCCACCUUCUCCCGCGCGCCGUGAAUCCUCCCUCCCCCCUGCUCGAGACGCCAUCAAGUCUGGAGCAGGAGCAGCUGCUGCUCGCGACCUCUAGUUCCUUCUUUCCAUGGAUGUGCUGCUGCUCGGGGCCCUCCCUAUGCUUCUCCUCGCUCGUACGGGUCCAGGGUUAGCUGCUCAGGGGACAUGGUGUGUUCCGUUUGGCGCUGCCUUCGCGGCCGCCGCCGUUGUUGUGUCUCGUGUGUCGCGGCAGCCAAUGGGUCGGGAAGGUCUGAGACUGGAGGUCCCUGCUCGCCAACUCACAGACAGUUGUUCUCCGACCAGUUAAAAAUGAAUUUUUUGAAGGAGAAGGAGGUGCCGAAAGGGGAUGGGAGCAACAAGUCUGAAUCGAAGAGUCAAAGAAGUCGAACCUGAAGAAGUGCAGGGAAGAAUUAUGGUUGCGUGUGGCUGACUGGUUCAGGGGAAUUUCAGGGCGGGCGCGGCGGCACGGGUGCCGGAGCAGGCUCCUAGGCACUGGCGAUCUGUCGGACGGAUAUUAGAAACGAAGGUGAAGGAGGAGCGGCCGCCCACUCGACGGUGCGGUGUAGGGCGGCGAGGGAGGCCGGCAGGGAGGCCUCGAUGCGGUGCAGGACGGCGAGGGAACCGUCCAGCGAGGCGACGAUGCGAUGCAGGGAUCCAGGCCGCCGUGCAGGGAGGCGACAUGACUGCUGAGCUUCGUCUGGGGCGGUGGCGAGGAAAGGCAGGGAGUGGGGCCAGGGACACGAUUAGGUCCGAUUUCCUUUUUUUGCGAGUUGGUUAGAUGGUUAGAUUAGCGUGAUUUGAGGGGCUGCGGAUGCGGGACGGAGAGUUUCAUAUUUUCCUCUUGUGGAGUAUGGUCAGUCUAUUGAAACUGCUAAGCGCACACCAGAUCUUGAAUAAAUUAAUGAUGACUGUUGGAUUGGGUCGUGUGGGCUUCAUCCUGUGGUGCUGAUGUAUCUGUGUACGUUUUGCG
RNAcentral lists this ribosomal RNA (1292 nucleotides) under Triticum aestivum (bread wheat). RNAcentral's name for it is "partial small subunit ribosomal RNA". The record is from RNAcentral. Lineage: Eukaryota; Viridiplantae; Streptophyta; Magnoliopsida; Poales; Poaceae.